Molecule: ribosomal RNA, 1404 nt
Filed under: Klebsiella pneumoniae
Lineage: Bacteria; Pseudomonadati; Pseudomonadota; Gammaproteobacteria; Enterobacterales; Enterobacteriaceae
Description: bacterial SSU rRNA
Rfam family: Bacterial small subunit ribosomal RNA
Source: RNAcentral
GUCGAGCGGUAGCACAGAGAGCUUGCUCUCGGGUGACGAGCGGCGGACGGGUGAGUAAUGUCUGGGAAACUGCCUGAUGGAGGGGGAUAACUACUGGAAACGGUAGCUAAUACCGCAUAACGUCGCAAGACCAAAGUGGGGGACCUUCGGGCCUCAUGCCAUCAGAUGUGCCCAGAUGGGAUUAGCUAGUAGGUGGGGUAACGGCUCACCUAGGCGACGAUCCCUAGCUGGUCUGAGAGGAUGACCAGCCACACUGGAACUGAGACACGGUCCAGACUCCUACGGGAGGCAGCAGUGGGGAAUAUUGCACAAUGGGCGCAAGCCUGAUGCAGCCAUGCCGCGUGUGUGAAGAAGGCCUUCGGGUUGUAAAGCACUUUCAGCGGGGAGGAAGGCGGUGAGGUUAAUAACCUCAUCGAUUGACGUUACCCGCAGAAGAAGCACCGGCUAACUCCGUGCCAGCAGCCGCGGUAAUACGGAGGGUGCAAGCGUUAAUCGGAAUUACUGGGCGUAAAGCGCACGCAGGCGGUCUGUCAAGUCGGAUGUGAAAUCCCCGGGCUCAACCUGGGAACUGCAUUCGAAACUGGCAGGCUAGAGUCUUGUAGAGGGGGGUAGAAUUCCAGGUGUAGCGGUGAAAUGCGUAGAGAUCUGGAGGAAUACCGGUGGCGAAGGCGGCCCCCUGGACAAAGACUGACGCUCAGGUGCGAAAGCGUGGGGAGCAAACAGGAUUAGAUACCCUGGUAGUCCACGCCGUAAACGAUGUCGAUUUGGAGGUUGUGCCCUUGAGGCGUGGCUUCCGGAGCUAACGCGUUAAAUCGACCGCCUGGGGAGUACGGCCGCAAGGUUAAAACUCAAAUGAAUUGACGGGGGCCCGCACAAGCGGUGGAGCAUGUGGUUUAAUUCGAUGCAACGCGAAGAACCUUACCUGGUCUUGACAUCCACAGAACUUAGCAGAAAUGCUUUGGUGCCUUCGGGAACUGUAAAACAGGUGCUGCAUGGCUGUCCUCACCUCCGGUUGGGAAAUGUUGGGUUAAGUCCCGCAACGAACGCAACCCUUAUCCUUUGUUGCCAGCGGUUAGGCCGGGAACUCAAAGGAAACUGCCAGUGAUAAACUGGAGGAAGGUGGGGAUGACGUCAAGUCAUCAUGGCCCUUACGACCAGGGCUACACACGUGCUACAAUGGCAUAUACAAAGAGAAGCGACCUCGCGAGAGCAAGCGGACCUCAUAAAGUAUGUCGUAGUCCGGAUUGGAGUCUGCAACUCGACUCCAUGAAGUCGGAAUCGCUAGUAAUCGUAGAUCAGAAUGCUACGGUGAAUACGUUCCCGGGCCUUGUACACACCGCCCGUCACACCAUGGGAGUGGGUUGCAAAAGAAGUAGGUAGCUUAACCUUCGGGAGGGCGCUACC